GCAAGGGAAGUAUUUCUUGUGAAAGCUAUUUAUUCAAUGUAUUAGGUUUAUCCAACUCGUUGAUUGAUAGACGGAACUCGUUUUGCUAUUAGGCCCGGCCUUACAACAAACAAACCAAAGUUUGACCUCAAAUCAGGUAGGAUUACCCGCUGAACUUAAGCAUAUCAAUAAGCGGAGGAAAAGAAACCAACAGGGAUUACCUUAGUAACGGCGAGUGAAGCGGUAAAAGCUCAAAUUUGAAAUCUAGCACUUUCAGUGUUCGAGUUGUAAUUUGAAGAAGGUAUCUUUGGAGUUGGCCCCCGUCUAUGUUCCUUGGAACAGGACGUCACAGAGGGUGAGAAUCCCGUGCGAUGGGGAGACCAAUUCUAUGUAAAGUUCCUUCGAAGAGUCGAGUUGUUUGGGAAUGCAGCUCUAAGUGGGUGGUAAAUUCCAUCUAAAGCUAAAUAUUGGCGAGAGACCGAUAGCGAACAAGUACAGUGAUGGAAAGAUGAAAAGAACUUUGAAAAGAGAGUGAAAAAGUACGUGAAAUUGUUGAAAGGGAAGGGCUUUUGAUCAGACUUGGUGUUUAGUACUCUCUACUCCUUGUGGGUGGGGCUCUUGCUUUAUACUGGGCCAGCAUCGGUUUGGAUGGUAGGAUAAUAGCAUUGGAAUGUGGCUUCAUUCGUGAAGUGUUAUAGCCUUUGUUGAUACUACCUAUCUAGACCGA
Molecule: ribosomal RNA, 706 nt
Filed under: [Candida] karawaiewii
Lineage: Eukaryota; Fungi; Ascomycota; Saccharomycetes; Saccharomycetales
Description: eukaryotic LSU rRNA
Rfam family: Eukaryotic large subunit ribosomal RNA (bases 123-706)
Source: RNAcentral